Cicer arietinum (chickpea) is the source of this 609-nucleotide non-coding RNA. The record is from RefSeq and is a predicted model, not a curated record. NCBI's taxonomy places the organism in Eukaryota, Viridiplantae, Streptophyta, Magnoliopsida, Fabales, Fabaceae.
UUGACUAAAAUAUUCAUUAAUUCUCUUUCUCUCUCUCUCUCUUUCUUCCUUCUUCACUAAUUAAACAAUAUUAUUAUUAUUAUUAUUUAAUAAAUCAACAAAUGGCAUCAUCAUGGACGGCGAGGCAGAACAAAUUGUUUGAACAAGCACUGGCUUUAUAUGAUAGGGAAACACCUGACAGGUGGCACAAUGUUGCUAAAGCAGUUGGAAGAUCAGUAGAAGAUGUUAAAAGACACUAUGAAAUCCUCAAACAAGAUGUUCAACGUAUUGAGCAUGGCCAUAUCCCUUUUCCUCCUUACAAAACUAAUUAACACCAAAGGACUUUGAAGAUCCAGAAUCCAAUAAGCGUGAAUAACCAAUAUUUGGUAUCUUUGAUAAAAAUUUGCAUAUGUUGUAUCUUAAGCAUGCAGCAAGCUACCAUGUCAAUGUGGAAAGCUUCUAUCCCAUUAUCUUUCUUUCUAUACUUUUUUUUUUGCUGAAUAUCUUUCUUUCUAUAUUAGUCAAAUUAACCUGUAUUCCUUGCAUUUAAUUUCCUUAAAUUUGUACCAAAAAGAAAGUAUUGUAUUAACAGCAGUUUAAUUAUUAUUAUAUCAACAAUAGUUUACAGUA